GAUGAACGCUGGCGGCGUGCCUAAUACAUGCAAGUCGAACGGACGAUCGCAAGGUCGUUAGUGGCGAACGGGUGAGUAACGCGUUGGUGACCUGCCCUUUAGUGGGGGAUACCAGACCGAAAGGUCUGCUAAUACCGCAUGAGCUCGGGAGAGCUUAGAAACUUCCGAGAAAAGCCGAAAGGCGCUGAAGGAGGGGCCUGCGUCCCAUCAGCUAGUUGGUAAGGUAACGGCUUACCAAGGCGAUGACGGGUAGGGGACCUGAGAGGGUGACCCCCCACAAUGGAACUGAAACACGGUCCAUACACCUACGGGAGGCAG
This 318-nucleotide ribosomal RNA is filed under the name uncultured Chloroflexota bacterium. RNAcentral describes it as "bacterial SSU rRNA". It matches the Rfam family "Bacterial small subunit ribosomal RNA", at positions 28 to 351 of the family's 1533-position model. The record is from RNAcentral. Lineage: Bacteria; Bacillati; Chloroflexota.